This is a long non-coding RNA of Hibiscus syriacus, 435 nucleotides long. RefSeq lists it as uncharacterized. The transcript is spliced from 3 exons. Lineage: Eukaryota; Viridiplantae; Streptophyta; Magnoliopsida; Malvales; Malvaceae. The record is from RefSeq and is a predicted model, not a curated record.
UACAAUCAAGAAGACCUAUUUAUCACAAGGAAAAUAAGUUUAAAAUCAAAUAGAAAACUGGGAAAGGCAACUACUAAAGGAACACGAGCAAAUAUAAACUCAUAACAAACAAACAGAAAGCGAGCAUGAAAGAUUAUGCACACCCCUUCUUCAUGAAAAUAGUGAAAAGGAUUCAUUCCCCUCUUUGGCUCUCAACAUAGAUCAUGGUUUGCUGAAGAUCACAUCACUCAAAACAUUAAACAAUGUUUUUAUAUUGAUGAAUGGUAAAAACAACUUCACAUGCUACUAGAGCAAAGGCAUAAUCCAUUAAUCAUAUUUGAAGACCUAAACAUGUCUCCUCUUAGGAUCAGGACUAGUACAGUCGUUAGAAAAAAAAGAACUCCAAACAUGCAACUAAUUGAUGGGUUUAAUAUAUAAAGAAAAUGAUAUUUAUCU